CGUUCCCGGGCCUUGUACACACCGCCCGUCACGUCACGAAAGUCGGCAACACCCGAAGCCGGUGGCCCAACCCUUGUGGAGGGAGCCGUCGAAGGUGGGGCUGGCGAUUGGACG
Molecule: ribosomal RNA, 114 nt
Filed under: uncultured bacterium
Lineage: Bacteria
Description: partial 16S ribosomal RNA
Rfam family: Bacterial small subunit ribosomal RNA
Source: RNAcentral